UAGGAACUUUAAAUGGCCCUAUUUGGAUGGCGAUCCAUUUGCUAGCUUCAUGCGUGUGAGAUCAGGAUGCCAGAAAAGUCCGCUGCUCAUUUUCAUGAAAUUUAGUUGCCUUUGGUUAAUCCACACAUGACUUUUCCCAGAUUAUUCUCUAGCCACCACUCUCCUUCAACACUAUUCAAGUACUCAGCCAUUUCUUUCUCAAAGGGUCCACCUCCCCAACCCAGAACCUCUGCAUCUCCAAGCCAGGUGUAUGGAAUUUGUUUCACAUCGAGCCUACACACAAGUCAACAGCUGCACUCCCACCAUCAGCUCACUGUGUUUCUUUGUCUUCUGUUGGGAAGGAAAAGAUAGAGUGACGUGGCACCUGCCCAGGGGGUUCCUCUCGUGCGUCAUAUGACAUCACCUCCUCUCCGGUCAACAUCACCAACAACUUAGUGUGCAAUCGAGACUACAUGCCACGGGGGGGAAAUGAAUUGCUUGGCUGGGAAUAGUAUCCUGGAGAUAGCACAGGGUUUAGAGUCAUGGAUGAGGUUGAAGGUAGCGUUCCCCUGCUCUGUGACUGUCUAAAAUUUCAGAAUUUGAGAGCCAACAGAGGAUUGUCCCUACUCCUUGGCACCGGGGUCUUCCAAGUGGUAUUUUCAUACUCCCGGAAUGAGGAGAUCCAAAAUGGCUCCCUGAACCAGAGAAUAGGUGUCCCAUUAAAAAUACCUUUAUCACCAUCACCUGACCGCAUCACCUAAACUGUCUUCCAAACAGGAGUCAAAGGUGACCUCUACAUUCAUUGCCCAGCACAUGCUGUCUUUCCCCGUCUCUCCUUUUUCCCCGUCUUCUCUUCAUCCGCUUUGCCUCCACUUGGGGUGGGAAUCUGUGGCAGAGGUCACUGGGGAAACAGCUCAGCAGAUUUUUAGAGACCAAGCAAAAGGCCUCACUAGGAAAUCUCUCUGUGUUAAAACAUUGCUUCCUUCCUGCCUCUGCGAAAAUGAAUGCUCAUUGUUGUUUUUUUAUUUCUAAUGUUCAAUCACUGCGUGCUGUAUGACUCUAGAAAGCCUUAAUUUACUACCACCAAGAAAUAAAGCAAUAUGUUGGUAAUUGGGUUAAGCCUCAUUUAAUACCCUGGCCAGAGGAACAUGGUGUUCAGAGAGGGACAUCCAAGGGUGAGCAAGCUCUCUUCUGAAGUAGAGAGCAAGUCAGGUCACUGCAGCUCUUGUCCACUUAAAGUUGCAUUUUGUCAUUUCCCUUGGUUCAGUGACUGUGGCUGAAAAUUAGGAGGCGGGUGAAAAAUCAUUGCCUUCACAGUUUGGUUCAGGUCUUCAAUUCCUUAACCCAAACUCUUGGAGUCAGAUGUAUUUUGGAAUUCAUAAUUUUUUUUUUUUUAUAUUUUAGGAAGCUACCUGUGGUGUAUUUUGAAAUACCUCUAGCAGAGUCUAGAACAGCACCCUUAGUCAAACAUUAGUCAAACAUGUUAGCAAUAGGUACAAAUAGUCACACUGUGUAAGAUUAUUAGAGACUGUAAAGAGCCUUGCAUCCCUUCAGGUCAGAUUCUGUCACCAAAUUAAUUUGCACCAAACACAAUGAAAAAAAAAUCUUCUAUUCCUUCAGAGAUUUCCAGAUUUCGGAAUUGUGGAUACGUAACUGUGGACCUGAAUGCGCUUCCCCUGGCCCUAAUGCAAACAUUGGAGUAAUCUUCAAAAUUAUGCUAUUGGUUGUUAUAAAUCUUUUAAAAGGUCUUAAAGCAUUAAAACCACCUAGCAGGGAAAUAUGGCAACUUGAUCUAAAAGGAAAAAUUAUAAUUCAGUUGGAAAAAAGUACAUGCCGAUUCUCUACUCACCAACACCUUUGGAUCCAAGAAAUCAAUAGGGCAGAAAGCAAGUACUGAGAGAUGAAUGGCACACUUCAGCCUUAGCAAGUAAAAAGGUUUUAAGAGAUAUUGAUUUUAAAUGUAUUUGUCCUCAGCUUUCUUCGGGUCCUAUGUCAGCUGCUUAAUGACUGUCACGUUAACCAAUAGGACGGUUAACUACCUGGGAACAUUAAGUUGAGGCAGCCCCAGGCGGUUCCUGUCAAGAUCCCAGAAUAAAGCUAGCAGUAAGUAAAAUGCAUUUGUCCUUGAGGUUCAUGACUUCUGAGAUUGACAUUUGUUCAGAAUUAGAAAAAGUCUUCAAGAAACUUGAUAUCCAAGAGCGUGCGGCAUGAAACCACACAGGUCGGACAUUUUUAAGAGGAAAAGUAAUUCGAUAAAAUUGCUACCCACGUCUAAGUUUUCACAGAGAAGUCACAAAAAGUAGUACAUUUGUUCAAGAGCUAGCAGUCAUGAUUAGUUAAGAAAGACAUUAGUUGGAAGAACUGCUGAAUCGACAGUAGGGGAGGGGAGAGAGCAUAUUUAGAGACCUGGUAAACACUGAAGUGAAAACGUUCAUACAGACGAUCUGUGAAAUCAGGUGGGGUUCCCUCUUGCAUGCUGUUGGUCAAGUGGUUUCUCCUCGAUCCAUUCACUAGACAUGGUUCUUGAUGUCGCAGGAAGGGAAGGCACGGGGGAAAGGGCGUGCCUGUCAUCAUCUGUCUGCAGUGGAUGCUGAUGCUACCACUGAGACGCCCCCAAACACAGCUCUGGGUGCCCAAAGAGCAACUCAGGCACUUUCAUUAAUGGCCACCUGGUGGGUCGAGCUGUUCAACCUGGGCAGAGAAAUACUCCCACAGACACUCAGAUUGGGGGCACCUCAUCCAGGAUGUACCCGGCAUGUGACUAUUCCUCCUUUUUCUCUGAGUGCGCCAUUCUCUCCUAAAGUCACAGGUCCAUUUUGUAGAGGCUUUCUCCCCACCUUCAAGCCACUAGAUCUCCUAGGAUCUGCUAAAACCACCUGGGAAGGAACAUCUCCAUUUGGAAGCUGGAGGUGGCCCAAUCCCUGCCUGUCACCGGCACCAUGUGGCAUCUCCAGCAGAGCUGUCCCAAGAAAUAUCUGCAACUAGGAUGCUGGUCUUGUGAACCACCCAGGAGGGCUCCCUUUAAACUCUGAAUUCUUGCUCAGGUGUUAGCAACCAGCAUCAUCCAGGUACCAAGGAUGGCCUUGAAGAUCACUUAAAAAAAACAAAAAACAAACAAAAAAAAAAAAACAAGGAGCCUUGACCUAAAUAUUUCCAAUCUAGCCAUUUCUGUACUGUGGAAUGUUUCUCUUUGCAGUCACUGAGCUACCGAGUUUUACACUGAUGAGAUCAAGAUGUCUGAACUCUGUCCUGACCCAUGAGGAUCAACGUAUGAUGGAGACAGGAAACUACAGCCAUUCUCCAUAAACAAAGGAUGCCCAGGGAGUGCCAGUCAUUUUCUUCUGAAGGAGCAGACAGUACCCAGCAACCUGCAACCCCUCUCCAAAGGUGGCACAUCUGGGAAUGUGGAGUACUGCACAGGAAGAGAGGGGCUGUUAGGUGUAAUUUGUUCAGAUCAGAGUUUGCACCAGCUCAGGGACUUGAGCAAUUCUUCUCCAAAAGAGUAGAAGGCAGCAGCCGUUAGGCCCUCCCCAUGUCUGACCACGAAGAAAGACUAGAGUCACAAACGAGAGCCUCCACCUGUGCCCAGUUAACUAUACGCACGUGGAAACACACUGAUCCCUCAGGAGCUGGAAAGUUUAAAGCAUGCUGAACAUUCGAUACAAUGAAUGUUGACUGAUGGUCUUCCAUCAACAGCUGCUGGAGACAUAAUGAAAAGCAAACACAAGUCCUACCUCAAGACACCCAUCAUCUAUUCAGGGAAGACCAAAACGUAAAUGGCAUUUUGAUUCAAAUCAACAAAGAUUUCUUGAAGGCCAACUUAGGGAUCCUAUCAUGUCAGGCACUGGAGAUGGGCCAGUGAACUAGACAGACAAAUGUCCAUGACCUCAUAGAGCUUGGAUUCUAAAGCCAUCCCAUCCAACGGGACUUUCUGUGGUGAUAGAAAUAUUCCGUAUCUCUGCUGUCCACCGGAGCAGUCACUAGCCACAUGUGGCUACUGAGUACUUGAAAUCAACUCAUGGAAAUAAAAAACUCAUUAAAAAAUUUUAUUUC
This is a long non-coding RNA of Herpailurus yagouaroundi (jaguarundi), 4032 nucleotides long. RefSeq lists it as uncharacterized. The record is from RefSeq and is a predicted model, not a curated record. NCBI's taxonomy places the organism in Eukaryota, Metazoa, Chordata, Mammalia, Carnivora, Felidae. The transcript is spliced from 2 exons.